This 400-nucleotide ribosomal RNA is filed under the name phytoplankton environmental sample. Its description in RNAcentral is "partial small subunit ribosomal RNA". It matches the Rfam family "Eukaryotic small subunit ribosomal RNA", at positions 587 to 994 of the family's 1831-position model. The record is from RNAcentral.
AGCUCCAAUAGCGUAUAUUAAAGUUGUUGCAGUUAAAAAGCUCGUAGUUGGAUUUCGGGGCGGCCUGGCUGGUCCGUCGCGAGACGAGUACUGGUCAGCCGCCCUUCCUCUCGAAAGCCCCGACUGCUCUUCACUGCAGUGGUCGGGUAGUUCGGGACGUUUACUUUGAAAAAAUUAGAGUGUUCAAGGCAGGCUUUCGCCUGAAUACAUUAGCAUGGAAUAAUGGAAGAGGACCUCGGUCCUAUUUUGUUGGUUUCUGGGGCCGAAGUAAUGAUUAAGAGGGACAGUUGGGGGCAUUCGUAUUUAAUUGUCAGAGGUGAAAUUCUCGGAUUUAUGAAAGACGAACAACUGCGAAAGCAUUUGCCAAGGAUGUUUUCAUUAAUCAAGAACGAAAGUACGC